RNAcentral lists this ribosomal RNA (506 nucleotides) under uncultured bacterium. RNAcentral's name for it is "partial 16S ribosomal RNA". It matches the Rfam family "Bacterial small subunit ribosomal RNA", at positions 29 to 523 of the family's 1533-position model. The record is from RNAcentral.
AGUGAACGCUGGCGGUAGGCCUAACACAUGCAAGUCGAACGGCAGCACAGGAGAGCUUGCUCUCUGGGUGGCGAGUGGCGGACGGGUGAGGAAUACAUCGGAAUCUACUCUGUCGUGGGGGAUAACGUAGGGAAACUUACGCUAAUACCGCAUACGACCUACGGGUGAACUCAGGGGACCUUCGGGCCUUGCGCGAUUGAAUGAGCCGAUGUCGGAUUAGCUAGUUGGCGGGGUAAAGGCGCACCAAGGCGACGAUCCGUAGCUGGUCUGAGAGGAUGAUCAGCCACACUGGAACUGAGACACGGUACAGACUCCUACGGGAGGCAGCAGUGGGGAAUAUUGGACAAUGGGCGCAAGCCUGAUCCAGCCAUACCGCGUGGGUGAAGAAGGCCUUCGGGUUGUAAAGCCCUUUUGUUGGGAAAGAAAUCCAGCUGGCUAAUACCCGGUUGGGAUGACGGUACCCAAAGAAUAAGCACCGGCUAACUUCGUGCCAGCCGCCGCCGUAA